CAGUCGCCGCGGUAAUACGAGGGGAGCUAGCGUUGUUCGGAAUUACUGGGCGUAAAGCGCGCGUAGGCGGCUUUUUAAGUCAGAGGUGAAAGCCCGGGGCUCAACCCCGGAAUUGCCUUUGAAACUGGAAAGCUAGAAUCUUGGAGAGGUCAGUGGAAUUCCGAGUGUAGAGGUGAAAUUCGUAGAUAUUCGGAAGAACACCAGUGGCGAAGGCGACUGACUGGACAAGUAUUGACGCUGAGGUGCGAAAGCGUGGGGAGCAAACAGGAUUAGAUACCCGUGUAGUCCCUGUCUCUUAUAC
Molecule: ribosomal RNA, 301 nt
Filed under: uncultured bacterium
Lineage: Bacteria
Description: partial 16S ribosomal RNA
Rfam family: Bacterial small subunit ribosomal RNA
Source: RNAcentral